AACUUAAAUGAAUUGACGAGGGCCCGCACAAGCGGUGGAGCACGUGGUUUAAUUCGAUGCAAACCGAAGAACCUUACCAGGUCUUGACAUCCCCCGCGAUGCUUUAGAGAUAAAGCGGAGGUAUUCGGGGAGACAGGUGGUGCAUGGUUGUCGUCAGCUCGUGUCGUGAGAUGUUGGGUUAAGUCCCGCAACGAGCGCAACCCCUAUUGCUAGUUACCAUCAUUAAGUUGGGGACUCUAGCGAGACUGCCAGUGAUAAACUGGAGGAAGGUGGGGAUGACGUCAAAUCAUCAUGCCCCUUAUGACCUGGGCUACAAACGUGAUACAAUGGCUGGAACAAAGGGAUGCGAAGCAGUGAUGUGGAGCGAAACCCAUAAAAACAGUCUCAGUUCGGAUUGAAGUCUGCAACUCGACUUCAUGAAGUCGGAAUCGCUAGUAAUCGCGGACCAGAACGCCGCGGUGAAUACGUUCCCGGGCCUU
RNAcentral lists this ribosomal RNA (479 nucleotides) under uncultured Acholeplasma sp. RNAcentral describes it as "bacterial SSU rRNA". It matches the Rfam family "Bacterial small subunit ribosomal RNA", at positions 898 to 1382 of the family's 1533-position model. The record is from RNAcentral. Lineage: Bacteria; Bacillati; Mycoplasmatota; Mollicutes; Acholeplasmatales; Acholeplasmataceae.